Molecule: small nucleolar RNA, 107 nt
Organism: Lathyrus oleraceus (garden pea)
Lineage: Eukaryota; Viridiplantae; Streptophyta; Magnoliopsida; Fabales; Fabaceae
Source: RefSeq, a predicted model, not a curated record
AUGUUGUGAUUAGGACACCUUCAUAAUAACAAUUUAAACCUUUCCCAUGAGUCAUACAAGGAUUCUAUAUCUUGUUGCUUAAAUUUUGUGAUCUUAGCCUUUCUCUU